UCAUUUGCCUUAUAAUUGAAGGCUUGUAUGAAUGGUUUGACAAGAAUAUAGCUGUCUCUUUAUAAUUAAAUAGAAUUUUAUUUAUAGGUGAAGAAGCCUAUAUAAUAUUGAAAGACAAGAAGACCCUAUCGAGCUUGAAAGAAAUUAAUAAAUUCUGUAUAUUUAAUAUAAUUUAAAAAAUUAAUUAUUAAAAAUUUUGGUUGGGGCGACUAAGGAACAAACAAAGCUUCCUUUAUUUUAGUAAUACAACCAAGUAAGGAUCCAAAAACUUUGAUUAAAGGAAUUAGUUACCGUAGGGAUAACAGCAUUAUCUUUUUUGAGAGCUCUAAUCGAAAAAAAGGUUUGUGACCUCGAUGUUGGACCAGAAUAUCCUGAAGAUGCAGCCGUCUUUAAGGGUUGGUCUGUUCGACCAUUAAAAUUCUACGUGAUCUGAGUUCAGACCGGCGUGAGCCAGGUCAGUUUCUAUCUUCAAUUUUUAUAAUAAGUUUAGUACGAAAGGACCAAUUUAUUACA
This 513-nucleotide ribosomal RNA is filed under the name Lamellitrophon traversi. RNAcentral's name for it is "partial 16S ribosomal RNA". It matches the Rfam family "Bacterial large subunit ribosomal RNA", at positions 1965 to 2704 of the family's 2925-position model. Lineage: Eukaryota; Metazoa; Mollusca; Gastropoda; Neogastropoda; Muricidae. The record is from RNAcentral.